Molecule: transfer RNA, 75 nt
Filed under: Aliidiomarina minuta
Lineage: Bacteria; Pseudomonadati; Pseudomonadota; Gammaproteobacteria; Alteromonadales; Idiomarinaceae
Description: tRNA-Gln
Rfam family: tRNA
About the family: Transfer RNA (tRNA) molecules are approximately 80 nucleotides in length. Their secondary structure includes four short double-helical elements and three loops (D, anti-codon, and T loops). Further hydrogen bonds mediate the characteristic L-shaped molecular structure. tRNAs have two regions of fundamental functional importance: the anti-codon, which is responsible for specific mRNA codon recognition, and the 3' end, to which the tRNAs corresponding amino acid is attached (by aminoacyl-tRNA synthetases). tRNAs cope with the degeneracy of the genetic code in two manners: having more than one tRNA (with a specific anti-codon) for a particular amino acid; and 'wobble' base-pairing, i.e. permitting non-standard base-pairing at the 3rd anti-codon position.
Source: RNAcentral
UGGGGUAUAGCCAAGUGGUAAGGCAACGGGUUUUGAUCCCGUGAUUCCCAGGUUCAAAUCCUGGUACCCCAGCCA